UACGAAGGGGGCUAGCGUUGUUCGGAAUUACUGGGCGUAAAGCGCACGUAGGCGGACUUGUAAGUUGGGGGUGAAAUCCCGGGGCUCAACCCCGGAAUUGCCUUCAAGACUGCGAGUCUGGAGGACAGGAGAGGCGAGCGGAAUUCCGAGUGUAGUGGUGAAAUUCGUAGAUAUUCGGAGGAACACCAGUGGCGAAGGUGGCUCGCUGGACUGAUACUGACGCUGAGGUGCGAAAGCUAGGGGAGCAAACACG
This 253-nucleotide ribosomal RNA is filed under the name uncultured bacterium. Its description in RNAcentral is "partial 16S ribosomal RNA". It matches the Rfam family "Bacterial small subunit ribosomal RNA", at positions 524 to 776 of the family's 1533-position model. The record is from RNAcentral.